CCAACUUGGUCCAUUUUUCUUCUCUUUUCUCUUCUUUAGUCCUAACUCUUCACCUUUUUUAUCUUUUUACUUCCUCUUUCUAAAGUUUUGCUUCUUUCCUUCUCCCUCUCACCAAAACAAUUUGCUCACAAAGGAGGAAAAAUGGCACCUUUCGUUUCCCUCUUUUUGUUGCUUCUCUUUCUUAACUACCCCUUCAUUUCCCUUUCAACCAACCCUGAAGGUAUGGCCUACUGCUUCAUUUCUCUCAGCCUUUCUCUUUGCUUUUCAAUUUGGUAUUGUUGGUCAAUUUGGUUUCUCAAAAUUAAUGGCAACUGGGGAACUUAAUAUUCAAAGCUCUUCUUAUGGCUAGCUAGAUCAUAUUAUAUUUCAAUUGUUUAGUUUUCCUUUUUUCUUUCUUUUUUUGUUUCAAAAUGACCAAUUUUUAUUUCAUUGGCCUCUUCUUAGCUAGCAAACAAACUUAAGCUUGGCCUUAAUAGUUUUGAUUUGAUCCAAAUAAUUUGUGUAGGGAACGCUCUGCAUGCUUUGAGAAGCAGGCUUUCUGAUCCCAACAAUAUGUUGUAGAGUUGGGACCCAACACUGGUUAAUCCCUGUACUUGGUUUCUCUAUUUCAAACAGAUUUGUUUCUCUAUUUCUCUUUGAUGCAUAUUCACAAACAUAUGGUGUUCACAACCUAUCUCAACUCCAAACUCAUCCAAUUUCACACCCACCAACAUAUCAAAAUCAUUGAAACAAAAUAAAUGAAAUAGAAAACAAAACAUACAUCAAUAAAAUCAAGCGACCCUUGUAGCUACAAAAAUGAAAUCAAAAUCAAACAAACAUAAACUUGAGAAAAGAAAAAAACAGAGAUGAGCGAGCGAGAGAGAAACCUAUUUGUGAGAGGAAGAAAAGAUUGUGAUGAAUAGAAAGAAAAACUUACUUGUGAGAGAGCGCUACGUGUGGUGUGUGAGAGUGGCUGAGAGGGAGAGAGAGCGCUUGCGUCGUGUGCGUGAGAGGGAGAGAGCGUGUGCGUGAGAAUGGCUAAGUGAGGAAUUUUAAUUCCUUUAUUUUUUGUGAGAAUUUGAAAUUUUGCCAAAUUAAUAUAUUAAAAUGCUUUAAAAAAUGAUGACAUUUUAAUUACUUCUAAAAUAUCAUAUCCAAACAAAUUAUUUUAUAGGAAGACAUUUUAAUAUCCCUGUUGAAAUACUUUACCUGCUUUAAUUUCCCCAUCCAAACAUACUCUGAAUGAGUUCCCAUCGGAAUAAGUUGAUCCCUAAAUGAAGGGAUUAAUAGAUUAAAGAGAUUAGCAGGAAAAUUUAUCGCAAACCUAAAACUGAAUGGGAUUGUAAACCUACUAUGAGGGUCUCCGAGAGAAAUAGGAUUUACAGGGGAUAAAAACCACUAAAUUGAAUGUAACUGGUUAUAACCACAUGUUAGAAAAUAAGUGUUAGUUGUUAUUUACGAUUAAUUUUUGUAUUGAAUAGUUACAUAAAAUUAACAUGUUUUCUCCAAUUUAUGGUUCUUUGUGUAGGAAUUGUAAAUAUUUUCAUGUUUGGUUUGAUUUUAUAUAGUAGAUACUUCCAUUUUGUGAAUUAAUGUUGAAACCACUUCAAUUUCAUGCUAAAAGAAGAGAAGGUUCAAGCAGCUGGUGUCUCGCUAAGCGAGGCAUAUGCGCUUAGCGAAUGACAUCCGUUAAGCAAGGCACGCAGCUCGCUUAGCGUGUUGGAAAACCCUAGAAGAGAUCAGUUAGAGAUGUGCUCGCCCAACAUGCCACAACUCGUCCAGCAAGUCGUUUGUCUCUUCUCGCGCUCAGCACGCCCAGCUCACUAAGCCAAAUUUCACUAACUCGCGCUUAGCGAGCCAAUCUCGCUAAACGAGCCUUCAGAAUCUGAAACGUCAAGGAGCCUUUAAAACACUGAAGUUGACGGAAACUAAAAAAAGAGGAGUAAAAAAACAGAGCCAAAGGAGAAGCUAGAGCGACAAAAACGAAGCAACCAAGAGAGUCUAGGUUAGAGGAGUGAGAUUAGGGUUCUAGAAGUUGAAGGUGAGAUCCUCAACCAUCCUUAGCCAUUUUCUUCCCUCAAAAUCUGUCCUUUGUAUUGAAAGUUCAUUACUUGUAAUGGAAGGUUAAACCUUUUGGUCGGGGAGUUCUGUUGAACCUUUGAUGUAAUACUCUUUCACUAUCUAUUUAAUAUUAUUUUUAUGUGUUCAUUGUUUCUA
This 2196-nucleotide long non-coding RNA is filed under the name Glycine max (soybean). RNAcentral's name for it is "long non-coding RNA (GMAX_LNC003433)". Lineage: Eukaryota; Viridiplantae; Streptophyta; Magnoliopsida; Fabales; Fabaceae. The record is from RNAcentral.